Molecule: non-coding RNA, 909 nt
Organism: Ictidomys tridecemlineatus (thirteen-lined ground squirrel)
Lineage: Eukaryota; Metazoa; Chordata; Mammalia; Rodentia; Sciuridae
Source: RefSeq, a predicted model, not a curated record
CAGGGCCAGCGCAGCUGGCUACCCAGUUUAACCGGAAUGAAAAGACCGCGACAUCUGCUCCUGCUCCGCGUCUUGACAAGCCUCAAUUUUGCACCAGGGUGUACCCGCCCGGCAUUAGAAUGAAUCCGAACGUUAGAAGAGGGCUCCCCCGGUGUAUCCUUGCAGGGGCCAGCCCGCGGAGCUGAGGUUCAGAAGUUCCCAACGUGACAUCCGGGACUGACUUUCCUUGGAGGAGGGGAGGGGAUCUGGGUCUAAGCAGGUUAGUUUCUGUUGAGCGGAAAAACCAAACCCUGUAACAGUCAACUGCCCUUCAGAGAGCGAGUAGCUUUGCGUCCCGAUGCUCUGCGCUGACGUUUUCUGCCAGGCAGGUGGAGCCUGGUGGCGGGAGGAGCAGCUUCUCCACCCGCCACGUAGUUGCAGAAGAGGCUCCACCGCGCAAGGAUGUUCUGCAGUGUCGCCUUGGGCGCCGGCUGAUCGAUGAGGAAUUGAGAGAUUGGGAGAUACUGAUUUGCUACGGAUAAAACUGUUCCGCAUUAAUGAAGUCAGAAACGCAUUCAACAGCACCUUUCAAAACACGUAAAGCUUUACAAUUUCAAGCUAGUCAGACUGCAGUCUUGGACUUUUUUUCCCUUUCUCUCUUGAAAUUUGUUUCAUAAAAAUCGAGAGGGUCACUACUAUUGGAGUUUCCAAAAUCUUUUGAACUUGAGAGGUUUUUGUGUGUUUUAUUUAUUUUUAUUUUUAUUUUUAAAUUUUAUUUCUUUUACAAAAGGAACAAAAUGACCAGGGUUAAUUUCAUCAAAACAACGUAAAAAAAUUGAUGUUCUGCAUAAACAUUCAUUUUUCAUAAAAAUGUAAACAGUAUAAUAAGAGAAAAUAAAGUCAUCUCUGCCCCAAUGCUUACUUCAUUAA